RNAcentral lists this ribosomal RNA (492 nucleotides) under uncultured bacterium. RNAcentral describes it as "partial 16S ribosomal RNA". It matches the Rfam family "Bacterial small subunit ribosomal RNA", at positions 29 to 507 of the family's 1533-position model. The record is from RNAcentral.
AGUGAACGCUGGCGGUAGGCCUAACACAUGCAAGUCGAACGGCAGCACAGUAAGAGCUUGCUCUUACGGGUGGCGAGUGGCGGACGGGUGAGGAAUACAUCGGAAUCUACUUUUUCGUGGGGGAUAACGUAGGGAAACUUACGCUAAUACCGCAUACGACCUACGGGUGAAAGCAGGGGAUCUUCGGACCUUGCGCGAUUGAAUGAGCCGAUGUCGGAUUAGCUAGUUGGCGGGGUAAAGGCCCACCAAGGCGACGAUCCGUAGCUGGUCUGAGAGGAUGAUCAGCCACACUGGAACUGAGACCCGGUCCAGACUCCUACGGGGGGCAGCAGUGGGGAAUAUUGGACAAUGGGCGCAAGCCUGAUCCAGCCAUACCGCGUGGGUGAAGAAGGCUUUCGGGUUGUAAAGCCCUUUUGUUGGGAAAGAAAAGCAGCAGGUUAAUACCCCGCUGUUCUGACGGUACCCAAAGAAUAAGCACCGGCUAACUUCGUG